RNAcentral lists this transfer RNA (68 nucleotides) under Cherax parvus. RNAcentral's name for it is "tRNA-Leu". Lineage: Eukaryota; Metazoa; Arthropoda; Malacostraca; Decapoda; Parastacidae. The record is from RNAcentral.
UUUACUUUGGCAGAAGAGAUAUGCGUUAGAUUUAGAAUUUAAUUAUAUAGGAUUUACUAUAAGUAAAG